Molecule: non-coding RNA, 97 nt
Organism: Podarcis lilfordi (Lilford's wall lizard)
Lineage: Eukaryota; Metazoa; Chordata; Lepidosauria; Squamata; Lacertidae
Source: the annotation of a GenBank genome assembly
UGUCCAGUAGCACCUUAGAGACCAACUAAGUGUGCAUGCACACAAAGGCUUUUAUACCCAGAACAAACUUAGUUGGUCUCUAAGGUGCUACUGGACA